AGGGCGUAUAGUCGGCAGUGGCAGACGCGAAACCAAGUGAUCUACCCUUGGCCAGGUUGAAGGCUGGGUAACACCAGCUGGAGGACCGCACCAAUAAGCGUUGAAAAGCUUCUGGAUGAGCUGAGGGUAGGGGUGAAAGGCUAAUCAAACUUGGAGAUAGCUCGUACUCCCCGAAAUGCAUUUAGGUGCAGCCUUGCGGGUUACUGAUGUGAGGUAGAGCGACUGAUAAGAUGCGAGGGCUUCACCGCCUAUCAAGUCUUGACAAACUCCGAAUGCGCAUCAGUUCUACCGCAGGAGUGAGGGCAUGGGUGCUAAGGUCCGUGCCCGAGAGGAGAAGAAUCCGGACCACCUGCUAAGGUCCCGAAAUGACAGCUAAGUUAAACUAACGAAGUCUGACUGCUAAGACAGCUAGGAUGUUGGCUUGGAAGCAGCCAUUCAUUUAAAGAGUGCGUAACAGCUCACUAGUCGAGGAGUCGGGCGUGGAUAAUAAUCGGGUAUCAAGUUGUCUACCGAAGCAGUGGGAUCAUUAAUAUGAUCGGUAGGGGAGCAUUCCAGUCAGCGUCGAAGGCGUACCGUGAGGUAUUCUGGAGCGUCUGGAAAAGCAAAUGUAGGUAUAAGUAACGAUAAAGGGGGCGGGAAACCCCCUCGCCGAAAGACUAAGGUUUCCUGAUCAACGCUAAUCGGAUCAGGGUCAGUCGGGUCCUAAGGCUCAGCCGAACGGCGAUGCCGAUGGCAGAAACGGUUAAUAUUCCGUUACUACCUUCAGGAGUGACGUGGAGACGCAGUAGUGACAGUGCCGCCAUCUGACGGAAUAGAUGGUUGAAGGGUGUAGGAGUCGAUCAUGGCAGGCAAAUCCACCAUGAGAUCCGAACCUGAUAGUAUGCCGCGUCCUUCGGGACAAGGCAAUAGUGCGCGUAAGCAUGCUGCCGAGAAAAUCCGCUAAACUUAAUCCUGCAGGUACCCGUACCGCAAACGGACACACGUAGUCGGGAUGAAUAUUCUAAGGCGCUUGAGUGAUUCACGGUUAAGGAACUAGGCAAACUGACCCUGUAACUUCGGGAUAAAGGGUCCCUACCCUUUUAUGGGAGGGCGCAGAGAAUCGGUCCAGGCAACUGUUUAACAAAAACACAGGGCUGUGCCAAAUCGAAAGAUCCAGUAUACAGCCUGACACCUGCCCGGUGCUGGAAGGUUAAGAGGAGAUGUCAUCGAUAAGAGAAGCGUUGAAUUGAAGCCCCAGUAAACGGCGGCCGUAACUAUAACGGUCCUAAGGUAGCGAAAUUCCUUGUCGGGUAAGUUCCGACCUGCACGAAUGGUGUAAUGAUCUGGACGCUGUCUCAACCGUGAGCUCAGUGAAAUUGUAGUAUCGGUGAAGAUGCCGAUUACCCGCGAUGGGACGAAAAGACCCCGUGAACCUUUACUAUAGCUUAUCAUUGAAUCUGGGCACGUGAUGUGUAGGAUAGGUCGGAGGCUUUGAAGCAGGUACGCCAGUAUUUGUGGAGCCGCUGUUGAAAUACGACCCUUUAUUUGUUUGGAUUCUAACCCGUGG
RNAcentral lists this ribosomal RNA (1546 nucleotides) under Phocaeicola vulgatus. RNAcentral describes it as "Bacteroides vulgatus partial 23S ribosomal RNA". It matches the Rfam family "Bacterial large subunit ribosomal RNA", at positions 689 to 2232 of the family's 2925-position model. Lineage: Bacteria; Pseudomonadati; Bacteroidota; Bacteroidia; Bacteroidales; Bacteroidaceae. The record is from RNAcentral.